Non-coding RNA from Cyanistes caeruleus (blue tit), 2463 nucleotides. The record is from RefSeq and is a predicted model, not a curated record. NCBI's taxonomy places the organism in Eukaryota, Metazoa, Chordata, Aves, Passeriformes, Paridae.
GUGGGCGCCCGGAGCGCCGUGGAGAGCCCCCCGCGGAAAGCUGCGCGCUCGCCCCUCAGCCGCGCCGCCUUGGCCCGUCGGGCUCAGGGCAGGGCAGGGCUGGGGCUGCUCCCUCGGGAGCGAGGAGGCGCCGGGCUGGAUGGCUGGAUGGUCUCAGGUGCUGGAUGGUUGCAUCGCCCCAGCCGGGCUCGGCCGUGGGAAGCUAUUUGGACCACGCUGCUUUUGGCGCUCGAAUCCCACGGUGCUCCAGCUUCUCGAAACGAAGCAAGUCUCACCCGAAGCAAAUUACACACGUUCCAGCAGCAAUUUACUUUUCCUGAAAGCUGUAGUACACUAUCAAAGUGACAAGCUGUUCUCAAGUUAAAAUAGAAUCCGAUCUCUAAAGUUUUGUCCUUCUGGAGGAAUUAAUAAUUUUUUCCUGGACCAAGCCACUGUGCUUCUGACAUGUACUGUCCCACUGAGCUGUUUAUCUGCCAAAGUGAAAUCCUGGAUAAAUACAUGGAAUCUUCCAGUUUUGCUUGAACAUGACUUGUGCUGAUUGAGAGAGUAUGUCUGGAGAAACACAGCUGGAUGGCAGCCAAAGAGAUACAUCACUGCCCUCACAGUUUGGAGCAUCCAGUCAGUGCUUCGCUAUGAUGGACACACUGACUGUUUUUGAUGUUUGCUUUUUGAAAAACAGUUUCUGCUUUUCUUCUGCUGCCAGAUGCAAGCCUGCAGCCACAGUAGGUGAGUAGGUUGUACUACUGCCAGCCCCUGUAGCUCUAAGGUGGCUGUUAUGGGGGUGAGUUACACAGCAGUUCCUUGCUGUCCUUUCUUUUGUAAGCUCCCAUGGUGAAUGGCAAGCAGCAGAGAGGACUGUGCUUUGGAUAAGCUUUCCAGCUCUGGGGAGGAAGGCUGUUAUUAGCACAGAGUUGAUAGAUGUUCUAACAAUUGUUUGAAUCCAAGUGAGGGGCUGGCAUCUUGCCAGGAGGACAGAUUUGUUGGAAAUGAAGGGUACAGAGAGCCAGGUAUCCACUUCCCAACUCUGUGCUUUGUCAGGGAGUGGUUGCUGUGGAUUUGUGUGAGCCACAGCAGGGACAGCACACACAGAUCCUGCUCCAAUGGAUAAUACAAUUCCCCAGUCACUGGGCAAAGCUGGAUGUUAGAUUUGGGAGUAAUCUCUGUGCCUCUGUUUUGUUAUUACUGAUGUAAACAAUCACAGAGUACUGCAGAAGAGCAGAGCAGACAGCCUUGGUGCUGAGCAGCCCCUUCCUGGGGGAGGCACACCACUGCCUGCAGCCAGUGCUGGGUCCCCAGCCCAGAGCACCCAAACAGGCACCUACCUAUGACUGACUGCAAGAUCCACAACCCACUUUGAUGAGUGCCAACAAAAAUAUCCACGAUCAAUUUAAUUCUUCAUUCAGCUCUGAUAAUUGGUUACAGCAAGUGAUAGUUGGGUGCUGAAUUAAUUUUUGCCCUCUCAAGUUCUGUACUUUGAAAUAUGUCAAAAGACAUGUUGCUAUUUGCUGCAGUUUGGAGUGAUCCAGGAAAUACCAGCUUCUGUUGCUGCUUUUCAACUCCUAAACUUCAAUGGCUAAUUCAAGCUUUAAAAACUCAAAGACUAACAGAUGUGUAAGGAACCUUUUUGAAGAAAAAAAUCAAUCGAAAAAAAUCAAUCAGAAAUUAUUUGAAGUCUAUCAUUUGAAGUCUGUUGGAAAGAAUUUCAAGUCGAUAAAACACAAAUUCACUUUUGUUGUCAGUAUUUACAGCAAAAACACUCCAGGACAGAGAGACCCAAACUGAAAAAUGUUAUUUAUAAAAAUGAAACCAGAUUCCACUGGAGGGGAAUGAAAACUAAAUAGCAGGAUUUAAAGGGAAAACAGGUAGGUUUUGGUGAUAGAUAGCCACCAUGACUUCCAGGUGCUGGGCAGAGCACUUGGUACCACCAGCAUCUUUCCCCGUCCAUGAAACAGAAGAAAGGUAGUGCAAAUCCCUUGUUGGCCUCUGCUUCUAUUUCCAGACUAGCUCUUCUGCUUUAGAUUCACAUUAUUAAUGGGCUAUCUGGGGCACAGACAUCCAGAAAUGAAGCUUUGCAAUACCCAGAAGGCCACAAGCGCUGCCAGGAGUCAGCACCUGAUUUAGAGUCAUGGUGACAAGGCUCAGUUUGAGAUUCAGAGGUGAUGUCCCCUGUCAGAGGCAGAGACAUCUCUGUCUCAGGGUAGCUUUGUGCUGAGUGGACCAAGCCACUUCUAGGCUGGUCCCAAAGAGAUGUGAAGGUCAGAAUGAAGAUGUACAAGGUCACGUGAAGACACACCAAAUAACAAAAAAAUGUCCUUCUUGUGCCAACAGCGAUCUUGCUGCUGUGUUGCAGGCUAGUGAGGUUUAUCUGAGGCUCAUGCAUUUAUCUUUUUUCUUUGGAAAAUAAAGCAGAUCCAUUAAUUCCCCAACAUCCAAGGUAAAUAAAUCCUCUUUUUUUUUUUUUUU